AAUCAGAGAUUUCUGCCAGAGAUAUCUCUAGUUCAAUGUUAAAUGAAUAAUCCCGAGAUUUAGUAUUAUAUGAAAUGCAUAUAAAUUAAUCAUUCUUUUUCUUAAUGAUAAGCAUUAUGUCUCGCAUAUGUUACAUUUAACGAUAAAUCGCUGAAAGCUAUUCCGAAGUACGUGUUUGUUUCAAGAAAUGUCAAGCGAGGCCAGUUUCCAAAUGAGAAACAAUUACGGUAACCGAUGAAGACGUGUCUGGCGCCCGCAGUGACGCAGAUAUGCUGCAGCAUGGGCAUUGAUUCGACAGUCGCAUAUCUCGAGCGGGGGAUUAGUAAGAGCAGGUACGAAGAAUUUAUCGCAUACUACUGCUAAAGCGAUAAAUAAGUAAAGUGACACGAUGACGUGUACGACAACGGCACCGCCUUGUCUCUCUUGCUCAUCAAACAGGUCGUGUGGAAAAUCUUCUAUAGCCGGUGGCGUACAAUUUAUACCUAAAAAUAGUCGGCGGCUCAUUCUGGCGCUAAAAGGGAGUAGAGUUGUGAUGACGACGACGACGACAACGACGAUGACGAUGACGAGGAGAUAGAUCGACGGUUACGAAAUCGGUAUAUGAGCAGCACGUACAUUGACUCGCCGAAUAGACAAACGUUCCCGCUCGAAACGACGCGGAAUGUCACGCAUGCAUCGGACACACGAACGAUACGACGGUGUGCGAUGUCCAAAUCGGAUCGUGUGGUGGUAAGAUAACGAUACGCCACAAGUAGGAAACGUCUCGUUACCGUUCGUCAUUACUUCAAUUUUAUGGAACCGUCGUGUCGUGCCGAAUUCUUUGGCAAACAAGCAAGAGCCGCGAGGGAGAGCGAGGGAGGGACAUGGUCCGUCUGCAAUAUACGUGCGAUUGAUCGAGCAACACGCUCUCGUGUCCAAUUUUCAAAGGCGAAUUCCUUAACGUUUAUAUCGAAAUACGAGACACAUUUAUUUUGCCAUUGAACUUGUUGAUAAUUAUC
Camponotus floridanus (Florida carpenter ant) is the source of this 998-nucleotide long non-coding RNA. RefSeq lists it as uncharacterized. The transcript is spliced from 3 exons. The record is from RefSeq and is a predicted model, not a curated record. Lineage: Eukaryota; Metazoa; Arthropoda; Insecta; Hymenoptera; Formicidae.